Molecule: long non-coding RNA, 1751 nt
Organism: Lolium perenne
Lineage: Eukaryota; Viridiplantae; Streptophyta; Magnoliopsida; Poales; Poaceae
Source: RefSeq, a predicted model, not a curated record
GUGGGCCGUAGAUGUGGGCGCCCAAUGAUAAGCAGCGAGCGAGCUCUGAGCCUCCGACCCAGUUCAUAAACAAACAGACUCACGCCGUCUCGCCGGACUCUGUUCCCCAAUCUCUCGCCGGCACCGGCAUCCCCGUCACCUCACCGGAUUACUGCGCCACCGUGGAGUGGAGGAUUCGCUCGAGUCCGCCAUCAUCCGGUCAUGAGACGGGGGGAGAGAGAGGAGCCGCGCAUCGGCGGCGACAGAAGAGGACGGCGCGCGCGCGCGCAGGAAACCGUCCGGGCGGCGCCCAAUGGCAGAAGCGGGAGGAGGCGUGCCGGCGGCUCGGCUCCUGGAUGAUCACUCAAACUCUCUUCUUAAAAGGUUUACAAGACUUUUCCAGCCAGAUGAACCUGUGACACAAGGACAAGCUGCAGUAGCACUUCCAACUGGGACUUCUGCCCCAAGUGGUUACGGAGGAACUUGCUCGCAUCGAAGCAGAGAAAAAUAGCUGAAUGCACAUGGUGCAUCGGUCGCUCAGGCUGGGAGAGAAACCGAUGCAUGCAAGCUCUGAAAGGGAGCACAAGGGUUAGAGGGGAAACAAGUUAAGCUAGGUUAUCAUUGGACAGGUUGAGAGCAGAAAAGAGAGGAGGCUAGAGCUGUUGUUCAAUCAGAAACAGUGCUUCCUUCAGAAUAGAUGUAUGAAGUAGAGGCGUAGAUGCAAUGUGUGCUGAGUAGGAAGGUAAGGUAUCUCCUUUGAGAAGAAUAUAACCGAGAGCGAAAACGAGGCUACUGUGCAACUUCAGUACGAGCUUGAAGUUGGAAAGGAAAGCCUUUUGUACAGGCAGGUAAGAAGAAUUUUAGUCAUGCCUGAGGUUUCCCAUUGAUUAAAAUUUAUUUGGUAAUGCCCUCAACCUGUCUCAAAUUGCAUGUUAGUUUCUUAUUUAGCUGAGGUAAGAAUAAAAGCUUAUUUUCUUGCUCUGUACAUAAGUUAACCACCCUUGGAUAUGUUGCAUCAUGCCUUGCUGAAAAUGAGGAAAUCUUUGGAACCUUCUCUAUGUAAAAUUCCUAUCCACUUGCAUAACAUAAGUUGUUACACAUAGAACCUACCGCAGCUCUUAUUCUCUUUGAAGUUGAUUGCAGCUGCUGCUCAAGGUGGCAACUUGUGCACACAAUGUGGGUACGCUUGGUGAUUUCCUAUUCAUACAAGGAUUGGCAGAAGUAGUGUAAUUUUUUAGCACGCUUUCAAGAUCAUAUUUGAACAUCUCGGAGAAUGUUCAGAACAACCAUUACUUUCUCUCCGCGGAGAUGCAGUGUGUGCUGAGCAAUAAUUUAAGGAUAUUGUUUGAGAAGAAUAUGAUUCAGAAACUUCAGAAGGAAAUAGAGAAUGAAAACGAGGCUGUUGUGCAACUUCAGUACAAGCUUGAAGUUGAAAGGAAAGCUUUGUCUACAGCCAGAGGACGUGACUCCAAUUCCCACUGUCAGCAGUCAGCACUCGCCGGAAGGGUGGAAGGAGGCUGUAGAUGUCUUCUUCAGGCUAUCUUUCACCUCCCAUGGUAGCAAUCAAGAUCUUACUCCUCUGUGGUCCUGCUAUUUCUAUGCUUAUCAGGAGCUUUAAUUUGGCCCUGUCAAGGAUCGUUUGAUGUUAGUUGAACCUAUAGUGUUGCUUGGAUCCCAUUUUUGGUUCAGAAACUAGUCAUAUGUAUGCGACAAACUAGCUUUGGUCCAUAGAAACCAUGAAAUGCAGUGAUCUCGUGCUGUAUCAGUUGCUA